This 253-nucleotide ribosomal RNA is filed under the name uncultured bacterium. RNAcentral's name for it is "partial 16S ribosomal RNA". It matches the Rfam family "Bacterial small subunit ribosomal RNA", at positions 524 to 776 of the family's 1533-position model. The record is from RNAcentral.
GACGAACCGUGCGAACGUUGUUCGGAAUCACUGGGCUUAAAGGGCGCGUAGGCGGGCCGGACGGUCCGCGGUGAAAUCCCCCCGCUCAACGGGGGAACGGCCGCGGAUACCGCCGGCCUCGAGGGGGGUAGGGGCGAGCGGAACGCUGGGUGGAGCGGUGAAAUGCGUUGAUAUCCAGCGGAACUCCGGUGGCGAAGGCGGCUCGCUGGACCCCCGCUGACGCUGAGGCGCGAAAGCCAGGGGAGCGAACGGG